Non-coding RNA from Omnitrophica WOR_2 bacterium, 153 nucleotides. Lineage: Bacteria; Pseudomonadati; Candidatus Omnitrophota. The record is from Rfam.
AAAUCCCUGCUGUGUACGUUAGGACGUUUAUAGAGAACCAACACUCUAUAAAGGGACGCUAAACUUCCGGUAUGUUUGAGGACAUUUCGGAGAGGUUCCCACUUGGUGAAAAGGUUCACCUAUUCUCUUGUCCGACGGCAUGGUGGGGAUUUU